RNAcentral lists this transfer RNA (69 nucleotides) under Podarcis lilfordi (Lilford's wall lizard). RNAcentral's name for it is "tRNA.Ala". It matches the Rfam family "tRNA". Rfam says of the family: Transfer RNA (tRNA) molecules are approximately 80 nucleotides in length. Their secondary structure includes four short double-helical elements and three loops (D, anti-codon, and T loops). The record is from RNAcentral. Lineage: Eukaryota; Metazoa; Chordata; Lepidosauria; Squamata; Lacertidae.
GCUGUAGCUCAGUGGCAGAGCAUCUGCUUUGCAUGCAGAAGGUCCCUGGUUCAAUCCCCAGCAUCUCCU